CCGAAAGGUCGAAGGGAGAAAUUCAUUCGCGUUUCGUCGCAGGCGUGGGGCGAUCGAGCGACGGGGGGAUGCGUUCGCGCUUCUCCCGCGCCUUUCGUUCUUCGAACCGGCGACGAACGCGUGCACUUUUCUCCUGGUAGGACGUCGCGAUCCGUUGGGCGUCGGUCUACGGCUCGCGGUGGAGCCCGCGCGCGUCGGCUUUAAAACCGACGCGUGCGGACCCGCGUGUCCCGGCUGACUCGCUCGACGGUAUACAAAAGGUUCAAGGCCGCUCUUUGGAGCGUUCGACUCGCGGCAAGCGCGCCGGACGCGUCGGCGAUCGGACUCCGUGCCGAUUCUGACCUCCGGUGACUGUUGGCCGCGAUGUUCUCGAACAGACCUUCUAGGACCGAUCCGCGACGCUAUAGCUUUGGGUACUUUCAGGA
This 425-nucleotide ribosomal RNA is filed under the name Hylobius abietis (large pine weevil). RNAcentral describes it as "partial 28S ribosomal RNA". The record is from RNAcentral. Lineage: Eukaryota; Metazoa; Arthropoda; Insecta; Coleoptera; Curculionidae.